RNAcentral lists this ribosomal RNA (301 nucleotides) under uncultured bacterium. RNAcentral describes it as "partial 16S ribosomal RNA". It matches the Rfam family "Bacterial small subunit ribosomal RNA", at positions 509 to 807 of the family's 1533-position model. The record is from RNAcentral.
CAGCAGCCGCGGUAAUACGGAGGGUGCAAGCGUUAUCCGGAUUUAUUGGGUUUAAAGGGUCCGUAGGCGGACUUAUAAGUCAGUGGUGAAAGCAUGUCGCUUAACGAUAGAACUGCCAUUGAUACUGUAAGUCUUGAGUAUAUUUGAGGUAGCUGGAAUAAGUAGUGUAGCGGUGAAAUGCAUAGAUAUUACUUAGAACACCAAUUGCGAAGGCAGGUUACCAAGAUAUAACUGACGCUGAGGGACGAAAGCGUGGGUAGCGAACAGGAUUAGAUACCCGCGUAGUCCCUGUCUCUUAUAC